Small nucleolar RNA from Chinchilla lanigera (long-tailed chinchilla), 74 nucleotides. NCBI's taxonomy places the organism in Eukaryota, Metazoa, Chordata, Mammalia, Rodentia, Chinchillidae. The record is from Ensembl.
UGGGAAGUGAUGAUACUCGAAUGUGACUGCUGACAUGGCUCUGAUUUCUCUUGUAUUCGUACUGGCUGAUCCCG